RNAcentral lists this unclassified non-coding RNA (240 nucleotides) under soil metagenome. RNAcentral's name for it is "partial contains 5.8S ribosomal RNA, internal transcribed spacer 2, and large subunit ribosomal RNA". The record is from RNAcentral.
AACCUAGCACACCUGCGGUGUGUACCUGCGGAAGGAUCAUUACCGAGUUAGGGUCUUUUGGCCCGACCUCCAACCCUUUGUUUAUUAUACCAUGUUGCUUUGGUGGGCCUGCCUUUCGGGGCUGCCGGGGGCAUCACUGCCCCUGACUCGUGCCUGCCAGGAGCCUUCUUAAAUUCAGUGUUCAACGGUGCUGUCUGAGUCCCAGUAUCAAAAUAUCAAAAACUUUUAACAACGGAUCUC